This 819-nucleotide ribosomal RNA is filed under the name Dinophysis acuminata. RNAcentral describes it as "partial Bacterial small subunit ribosomal RNA". It matches the Rfam family "Bacterial small subunit ribosomal RNA", at positions 1 to 811 of the family's 1533-position model. Lineage: Eukaryota; Dinophyceae; Dinophysales; Dinophysaceae. The record is from RNAcentral.
UUGAAGAGUUUGAUCAUGGCUCAGAUUGAACGCUGGCGGCAGGCUUAACACAUGCAAGUCGAGCGGAAACGAUGGGAGCUUGCUCCCAGGCGUCGAGCGGCGGACGGGUGAGUAACGCGUAGGAAUCUACCCAGUAGCGGGGGAUAGCCAGUGGAAACGCUGAUUAAUACCGCAUACGCCCCACGGGGGAAAGGAGGGGAUCUCUUCGGAGACCUUUCACUAUUGGAGGAGCCUGCGUUGGAUUAGCUAGUUGGUAGGGUAAAGGCCUACCAAGGCGACGAUCCAUAGCUGGUCUGAGAGGACGAUCAGCCACACUGGAACUGAGACACGGUCCAGACUCCUACGGGAGGCAGCAGUAGGGAAUAUUGCACAAUGGGCGAAAGCCUGAUGCAGCCAUGCCGCGUGUGUGAAGAAGGCCUUAGGGUUGUAAAGCACUUUCAGUAAGGAAGAAAAAGCCGGGUUAAUACCUUGGUUUAUUGACAUUACUUACAGAAGAAGUACCGGCUAACUCCGUGCCAGCAGCCGCGGUAAUACGGAGGGUACAAACGUUAAUCGGAAUUACUGGGCGUAAAGCGCGCGCAGGUGGUUUAUUAAGUGGGAUGUGAAAGCCCUGGGCUUAACCUAGGAACUGCAUUCCAAACUGAUAGACUAGAGUACGAUAGAGGGGGGUAGAAUUCAGAGUGUAGCGGUGAAAUGCGUAGAUAUUCUGAGGAAUACCGGUGGCGAAGGCGGCCCCCUGGAUUGAUACUGACACUGAGGCGCGAAAGCGUGGGGAGCAAACAGGAUUAGAUACCCUGGUAGUCCACGCCGUAAACGAUG